RNAcentral lists this ribosomal RNA (253 nucleotides) under uncultured bacterium. RNAcentral describes it as "partial 16S ribosomal RNA". It matches the Rfam family "Bacterial small subunit ribosomal RNA", at positions 524 to 776 of the family's 1533-position model. The record is from RNAcentral.
GACAGAGGUGCCGAGCGUUAGGCGGAAUCACUGGGCUUAAAGCGUGUGUAGGCGGGCGGGCAAGUACCUUGUGAAAUCCCACGGCUCAACCGUGGAACGGCUGGGUAUACUGCCUGUCUUGAGCCAGCUAGGGGCGAGCGGAACAGACGGUGGAGCGGUGAAAUGCGUAGAUAUCGUCUGGAACGCCGAAGGUGAAAACAGGUAACUGGGGAUGUGCCGACGCUGAGACACGAAAGCCAGGGGAGCGAACGGG